RNAcentral lists this long non-coding RNA (1252 nucleotides) under Junco hyemalis (dark-eyed junco). Its description in RNAcentral is "lncRNA (ENSJHYG00000015870.1)". The record is from RNAcentral. Lineage: Eukaryota; Metazoa; Chordata; Aves; Passeriformes; Passerellidae.
AUGCCCCUCUUGUGGCUUGCUCUCAACACUUCACACAUCGGCACUGUUGGGGUCACAGCUGUGGCCGGGAUCUCUGACUCAACAGGGCUAGAGUCUCUCUAUAGCUGCUGUGUCCUCGCUGGCUCCGGGAGCGCCUUUCCCCAGGAGAGGGCAGUGGAGCCCGCACACGCUCCGCGCUCCCCGCCCGGCAGCGGCGGGAGCAGCCGCUCCCUCGGCUCUUCCGUGGGAAACUCAUGGGGUGAGUGCAAGUAGGACCACGGAUUUUAUAUAUAUGCUGGAAACCGUGCACAGGAACAUCCAGGAAAUGUUCUGUGUAUUUAAUAACGGGAAUAAGUUCUGAGCAAACAAGUUUGUUGUUGCUUUUAUUUGACUGGAAGUCUUCUCUGUCACACAUACUUGUUCACAGCCACACGAACUUAAACUAGUAGUUUAUUGAUUCCACAUGGGUUUAUUUAAUUCCUAUAGCCCGAAUUAGAAAAAGUUAUUGACAUUUAAAUAACCCUUCAGAAUGCUGCUAGUGCUAUCCUGAGCCAAGGACUCACAAGAAAGUUAUUUACUUUUUUCAAAUUUACAGGCACUCAUCCUAAGACAACAAGCAGCCUUGGCUGAAAACCACAGAGUGGUUUCAAGGUACUGUAAUUAAGGGCAGACUGGGAUGCCUUCUCUGCUCCUUAACCAUCCCCUUCCCCUAGCAUGCCAGCAGCCAGCCAGAUGUUUUCUCUAAGUUCAUGUUUACAGCAGGUUUCCCUGGCUGGAUUCCAGGUUUUGGUGACUGGCCAGUGCAGACUAAGAGCCUAUAUCAGGCCUGUGAGGGGCAGCCAGGGCAGACUGAAGGGAAGUGGCUUUUGCCAGCAGCCUGGGAAUCCAGUAGACAGCCCUGGCCAAAACAGAAGGUGAAAUAGUAAACAAGCAUUUCUUCCUGUGAGGACAUGACAAAUCUUUCCCCAGUGAAAAGGGGAAAAUUUAGGAAACUCUGAAAUUCAGCUUUGGAGAGAAGAUUUUCUCUUUUACAUGAAACAUUAAAACCCACCAACCCCAACAUGAAUCUAGGCCAGAUUUAGGACAGACAGACAUUCUUUGCUGUUGUCAUCCAUCUCCAACCUGUAAACAGCUCCCUGUUCCCAAAUGAGUUCCUGCUCCCUAGGGCACCUGCUGAGCUGGGGCCACCUUAACCCUCCUGAAACAGCAGGAUGCAGCGUGGAAGCUGCAGGGUGUGUUUCCCAUGCAGGCCUGUUAGCACAGGAGGUCGGCU